This 495-nucleotide ribosomal RNA is filed under the name uncultured bacterium. RNAcentral's name for it is "bacterial SSU rRNA". It matches the Rfam family "Bacterial small subunit ribosomal RNA", at positions 28 to 524 of the family's 1533-position model. The record is from RNAcentral.
GACAAACGCUGGCGGCGUGCUUAACACAUGCAAGUCGAACGGUCUUCUUUAGGGAAGAUAGUGGCGGACGGGUGAGUAACACGUAGUUAACCUGCCUUUAGGUGGGGAAUAACUCCUCGAAAGAGGAGCUAAUACCGCAUACGCUCUCUGUUGAUAGAUAGAGAGGAAACCUUAGGAGCAAUCCUUGGGGCCGAAAGAGGGGACUGCGGCGGAUUAGCUAGAUGGUGGGGUAAAGCCUACCANGGCGACGAUCCGUAGCUGGUCUGAGAGGACGACCAGCCACACUGGGACUGAGAUACGGCCCAGACUCCUACGGGAGGCAGCAGUGAGGAAUAUUCCACAAUGGGCGAAAGCCUGAUGGAGCGACGCCGCGUGAAGGAAGAAGCCCUUUGGGGUGUAAACUUCUUUUCUGUGGGAUGACAACCCUCGCAAGAGGGCUACGACAGUACCACAGGAAUAAGCCUCGGCUAACUACGUGCCAGCAGCCGCCGUAAG